AAGCGGAGGAGCAUGUGGCUUAAUUCGAUGCAACGCGAAGAACCUUACCAGGGCUUGACAUGUAGCUGCAAGCCCCUGAAAGGGGGAAGCCUUCGAGGGUGCUACACAGGUGCUGCAUGGCUGUCGUCAGUUCGUGCCGUGAGGUGUUUGGUUAAGUCCAGCAACGAACGCAACCCUUGUGUCUAGUUGCCACCGACGGCGUAAAGUCGUCGAGCACUCUAGACAGACUGCCUGUACAAGCAGGAGGAAGGUGGGGGAUGACGUCAAGUCAGUAUGGCCCUUACGCCCUGGGCUGCACACGUGCUACAAUGGUCGGUACAGAAGGAUGCAAGACCGCGAGGUGGAGCAAAUCCCAAACGGCCCAGUUCGGAUUGGAGUCUGCAACUCGACUCCAUGAAGUUGGAUUCGCUAGUAAUGGCGCAUCAGCUACGGCGCCAUGAAUACGUUCCCGGGCCUU
Molecule: ribosomal RNA, 457 nt
Filed under: uncultured Lentisphaerota bacterium
Lineage: Bacteria; Pseudomonadati; Lentisphaerota
Description: bacterial SSU rRNA
Rfam family: Bacterial small subunit ribosomal RNA
Source: RNAcentral